UUUGCUUGCAAACCAAAGCUGGCGACCGGCGCACGGGUGAGUAACACGUAUCCAACCUGCCUCAUACUCGGGGAUAGCCUUUCGAAAGAAAGAUUAAUAUCCGAUAGCAUAUAUUUCCCGCAUGGGUUUUAUAUUAAAGAAAUUCGGUAUGAGAUGGGGAUGCGUUCCAUUAGUUUGUUGGGGGGGUAACGGCCCACCAAGACUACGAUGGAUAGGGGUUCUGAGAGGAAGGUCCCCCACAUUGGAACUGAGACACGGUCCAAACUCCUACGGGAGGCAGCAGUGAGGAAUAUUGGUCAAUGGACGCGAGUCUGAACCAGCCAAGUAGCGUGAAGGAUGACUGCCCUAUGGGUUGUAAACUUCUUUUAUAUGGGAAUAAAGUUGUCCACGUGUGGAUUUUUGUAUGUACCAUAUGAAUAAGGAUCGGCUAACUCCGUGCCAGCAGCCGCGGUAAUACGGAGGAUCCGAGCGUUAUCCGGAUUUAUUGGGUUUAAAGGGAGCGUAGGCGGAUUGUUAAGUCAGUUGUGAAAGUUUGCGGCUCAACCGUAAAAUUGCAGUUGAUACUGGCAGUCUUGAGUGCAGUAGAGGUGGGCGGAAUUCGUGGUGUAGCGGUGAAAUGCUUAGAUAUCACGAAGAACUCCGAUUGCGAAGGCAGCUCACUGGAGUGUAAC
RNAcentral lists this ribosomal RNA (671 nucleotides) under uncultured Bacteroidales bacterium. Its description in RNAcentral is "bacterial SSU rRNA". It matches the Rfam family "Bacterial small subunit ribosomal RNA", at positions 75 to 740 of the family's 1533-position model. The record is from RNAcentral. Lineage: Bacteria; Pseudomonadati; Bacteroidota; Bacteroidia; Bacteroidales.